GCAUUGGUGGUUCGAUGGUAGAAUUCUCGCCUUCCAUGUGGGAGACCUGGGUUUGAUUCCUGGCCAAUGUG
RNAcentral lists this transfer RNA (71 nucleotides) under Loxodonta africana (African savanna elephant). It matches the Rfam family "tRNA". Rfam says of the family: Transfer RNA (tRNA) molecules are approximately 80 nucleotides in length. Their secondary structure includes four short double-helical elements and three loops (D, anti-codon, and T loops). Further hydrogen bonds mediate the characteristic L-shaped molecular structure. tRNAs have two regions of fundamental functional importance: the anti-codon, which is responsible for specific mRNA codon recognition, and the 3' end, to which the tRNAs corresponding amino acid is attached (by aminoacyl-tRNA synthetases). tRNAs cope with the degeneracy of the genetic code in two manners: having more than one tRNA (with a specific anti-codon) for a particular amino acid; and 'wobble' base-pairing, i.e. permitting non-standard base-pairing at the 3rd anti-codon position. Lineage: Eukaryota; Metazoa; Chordata; Mammalia; Proboscidea; Elephantidae. The record is from Rfam by way of RNAcentral.